Molecule: long non-coding RNA, 1932 nt
Organism: Cervus elaphus (red deer)
Lineage: Eukaryota; Metazoa; Chordata; Mammalia; Artiodactyla; Cervidae
Exons: 3
Source: RefSeq, a predicted model, not a curated record
GCUCUGCCGUCGAGGCCCCCGGGUUUCACUUCGAGCCAUGGUGUUGGGGGUUCCCUGAACUUCAAGCAGUGGAUCUGGCCCAGGGGCCUGUCAGGGGCGUGGUGCGGAAGGCUGUGUCCCUCACCCCGCCGUGACCCUCACCCCGCCACGACCCUCACCUCGCCAUGACCCUCAUCAGGCUCUCAGGCGUGGCGUGGCGGACUCCCUGACUGCCCAGCACACGGCUCCUAGCAGCAGGACGCUGGGAGCAGGGUCCGGGGGUGCAGCCAGCGGGGCCCCGGUAAAGCCCUGAGACGCUGGCUGGGGCUGGAGGCCGCUGACCCUGCGCGCUGACCCACCAAGCUGGAGCCUGGUUGCGGACAUCAGGCCUCCUGGAGGAGCUGCGGAGCUGCCCUGAGGGGCGGCUCAGGCUGACACCGGGGCAGACCAGCCUGCCGGGCGCUGCAGGGCCCUCGCCGGCCCUCAGUUUCCUCCUGUGGACGCACCCUGCCCCACAGUGCUCGCUGUCCAUGCACCAAGUGGGGAGCUGGAGGGCGGCUGGUCCCCGGGGUCUCGGGUCUCUCAGAGCCUUGGUCCUCAGAUGUGAAGUGACCACACCGACCCCUGGCCGUGCUGAGGGCGGGGCAAGACCCCAUGUGUGAGGAGUGGUCACGAUGAGUGUUAAUCAGGAGGCAGAGGACACAGGAGCCAGCCAAACACCCUGGGUUUGAGUCAGUGCGGCCCCACAGAAUGGGGCUGACCCUGACCUGACCCUGACCUGACCCUGAGCCUCAGUUUCCCCGUCUGUAAAAGGGGCACCAGCACCCAGCCCCCGGGCUGGCAUGGGAUCCAGACUCAGUGGAGACUGGAGUGCUGGGAUGGUGGGGGGCUGAGGGCAAAAGGGUCUGUGUGCCUACCCCCAGGUCACAGCCAGAUGUGGACACUCUAGUGGCCUUGCCUGCAGGCAGGGAGUGGGUGGACAUGACCCCGUGGGCCAGGGCUCGACCAGGACGCCGGGCACCUCUGAGAAGCCACCGUCCCUGGGGCAUUGAGGCUGAUGUCCCUGUGGACACAGCUGAGACCCAGGGGGCACCCUCGGAGGAGAGCUAUAGGCAGUGUCCUCAUCUCUUGGGAGCGAGGCCGUGGCUUCUGGUCCAGGCACAUUGUCCCCGUGCCCCAGCCCCUCUCAAGCAGCGUGACGGUGUGGUCAGGACCCCUCACCUGAAAGGACGUGACAGGCCUCCCACCCACCUGCCCCGAGAUGCAAGCUGUUGUGUUAGAAAACCAAAGGCAAGGAGCCAGUCGGAAAACAUCUUUGAGGACGGUCUCCUUUCUGAAACAUCAGAGCUGUUGACUUCACCCUGUCUUGGUGCAGUCUCAGGCACAGCAUGGUCAGCUGUUGGACAGUCAGGGCUUGAAGGGGCCACCCAGGGCUGCAGCCCCGCAAUGGGUCCUGUCCACGUUGAGACGGGCCCUCCGUGUGACAUGCUCGCCAGGUUCGCGAGACCGAGAGCAAGAACGUAACGUGGCAGCCCGCGUGAUGGGACAUUACGCAGGCGAAAGAGGGGAUGAAGCGCUAACACAGGCUACCCCAAUAUGAACCUCAAAGAUGUGAUGCUCAGUGAGAGAAGCCGGACGCGGAAGACUGUGCAGGGUGCGGUUCACAUUGAGAAGCAUCAACAACGGGCAUGUCCACGGAGGGAGAGCGGGGCUCAGUGGUGCCGGCGCUGGGAGGGGUAGGGGCUCUGGGGAAGGCUGCUCUUUGUGGGGAUGAAAAUUUUCUCAAACUGACUGUGGAGGAACUUCCCUGGUGGUCCAGUGGCUGAGACUCUGCGCUCCAGUGCAGGGCAGCUGGGUACGAUCCCUGGUAACUAAGGUCCUGUGGGUCGCAACUAAGAUCUAGCACAGCCAAACAAAGUAUUUAAAAAAUAAAAAAUAAGUAAAAUAAAAUUG